AGUGAACGCUGGCGGUAGGCCUAACACAUGCAAGUCGAACGGCAGCACAGUAAGAGCUUGCUCUUACGGGUGGCGAGUGGCGGACGGGUGAGGAAUACAUCGGAAUCUACUUUUUCGUGGGGGAUAACGUAGGGAAACUUACGCUAAUACCGCAUACGACCUACGGGUGAAAGCAGGGGAUCUUCGGACCUUGCGCGAUUGAAUGAGCCGAUGUCGGAUUAGCUAGUUGGCGGGGUAAAGGCCCACCAAGGCGACGAUCCGUAGCUGGUCUGAGAGGAUGAUCAGCCACACUGGAACUGAGACACGGUCCAGACUCCUACGGGAGGCAGCAGUGGGGAAUAUUGGACAAUGGGCGCAAGCCUGAUCCAGCCAUACCGCGUGGGUGAAGAAGGCCGUCGGGUUGUAAAGCCCCUUUGUUGGGAAAGAAAAGCAGCAGGUUAAUACCCCGCUGUUCUGACGGUACCCAAAGAAUAAGCACCGGCGAACUUCG
This 490-nucleotide ribosomal RNA is filed under the name uncultured bacterium. Its description in RNAcentral is "partial 16S ribosomal RNA". It matches the Rfam family "Bacterial small subunit ribosomal RNA", at positions 29 to 505 of the family's 1533-position model. The record is from RNAcentral.